GACGAACGCUGGCGGCGUGCCUAAUACAUGCAAGUCGAACGAGAGCGACCGGUGCUUGCACUGGUCAAUCUAGUGGCGAACGGGUGAGUAACACGUGGGUAACCUGCCCAUCAGAGGGGGAUAACAUCCGGAAACGGAUGCUAAAACCGCAUAGGUCUUCGAGCAGCAUGGCUUGAAGAGGAAAAGAGGCGCACGCUUCUGCUGAUGGAUGGACCCGCGGUGCAUUAGCUAGUUGGUGAGGUAACGGCUCACCAAGGCCGUGAUGCAUAGCCGACCUGAGAGGGUGAUCGGCCACAUUGGGACUGAGACACGGCCCAAACUCCUACGGGAGGCAGCAGUAGGGAAUCUUCCGCAAUGGACGCAAGUCUGACGGAGCAACGCCGCGUGAGUGAAGAAGGUUUUCGGAUCGUAAAACUCUGUUGUUAGAGAAGAACAAGUGCUAGAGUAACUGUUAGCGCCUUGACGGUAUCUAACCAGAAAGCCACGGCUAACUACGUG
RNAcentral lists this ribosomal RNA (498 nucleotides) under uncultured bacterium. RNAcentral's name for it is "partial 16S ribosomal RNA". It matches the Rfam family "Bacterial small subunit ribosomal RNA", at positions 28 to 507 of the family's 1533-position model. The record is from RNAcentral.